Molecule: long non-coding RNA, 625 nt
Filed under: Nicotiana tabacum (common tobacco)
Lineage: Eukaryota; Viridiplantae; Streptophyta; Magnoliopsida; Solanales; Solanaceae
Description: long non-coding RNA (NTAB_LNC018743)
Source: RNAcentral
AAUUCAUACUAGAGCAGAUAUUCCAGAUUGAUCUGAACAGAUCAAAAUGGAUAGACGUAAGUGUCAUCUUCGUCAUGAUAAUCACCUAUCGAAUCAUCUUCUUUAUCAUGAUCAAAAUCAACGAGGAUGUCACGCCUUGGAUCAGAGGUUACAUUGCCAGAAGAAAAAUGCAGCAGAAAAAUGGGAAUCAAAAACAGACUAUUGCUCCAUAUGGUCUCACUCAAUCUCCCUCUCUUAGGGCCUAUGUGGGAAAUAACCAUGGACCAAAUAGCAAUCGUUAAUAGGUUAAGUGAGGCAUAGCAAUGUUAACUAAUAAAGUCAAAAAAUGAAGGCUUAUUAUUCGUUACUACAAAAAUUUGUAUCAAAUUAUAUACGAGGUGAUGGUAUUUUUUUAUUUUUUUUUCCAAACUUAACCAUUCUUCAACUUGGUGCUUUAAAUAUGUGCUAGUAUGAGAUUAUCAACUGCCAAAUGUUGCUUUUUUUUCUUCUCCUUUUCUAUUACUAUUGUUUAUGCAAGAGAAAGUGCAUAUUUUGUAUGUCAAAUAGGUGUGAUUCUUUUUCUUUUUUUUUUUCUUCUUAUUCUAUAAAUUUGGUCAAACAAUUCAACUUUGAAAAAAAAAAAAAA